This 478-nucleotide ribosomal RNA is filed under the name uncultured bacterium. RNAcentral describes it as "partial 16S ribosomal RNA". It matches the Rfam family "Bacterial small subunit ribosomal RNA", at positions 28 to 523 of the family's 1533-position model. The record is from RNAcentral.
GACGAACGCUGGCGGCGUGCUUAACACAUGCAAGUCGAACGGUAAGGCCCUUCGGGGUACACGAGUGGCGAACGAGUGAGUAACACGUGGGUGAUCUGCCCUGCACUUCGGGAUAAGCCUGGGAAACUGGGUCUAAUACCGGAUAGGACCACUGCCUGCAUGGGUGGUGGUGGAAAGCUUUUGCGGUGUGGGAUGGGCCCGCGGCCUAUCAGCCUGUUGGUGGGGUGAUGGCCUACCAAGGCGACGACGGGUAGCCGGCCUGAGAGGGUGACCGGCCCAAAUGUGACUGGGAUACGGCCCCGACUCCUACGGGAGGCAGCAGUGGGGAAUAUUGCACAAUGGGCGCAAGCCUGAUGCAGCGACGCCGCGUGAGGGAUGACGGCCUUCGGGUUGUAAACCUCUUUCAGCACCGACGAAGCGCAAGUGACGGUAGGUGCAGAAGAAGGACCGGCCAACUACGUGCCAGCCGCCGCCGUAA